RNAcentral lists this ribosomal RNA (353 nucleotides) under uncultured bacterium. Its description in RNAcentral is "bacterial SSU rRNA". It matches the Rfam family "Bacterial small subunit ribosomal RNA", at positions 8 to 350 of the family's 1533-position model. The record is from RNAcentral.
AGAGUUUGAUCAUGGCUCAGGAUGAACGCUAGCUACAGGCUUAACACAUGCAGGUCGAGGGGAAACGACAUCGAAAGCUUGCUUUUGAUGGGCGUCGACCGGCGCACGGGUGAGCAACGCGUAUCCAACCUGCCCACCACUUGGGGAUAACCUUGCGAAAGUAAGACUAAUACCCAAUGACGUCUCUAGAAGACAUCUGAAAGGGAUUAAAGAUUUAUUGGUGAUGGAUGGGGAUGCGUCUGAUUAGCUUGUUGGCGGGUAACGGCCACCAAGGCUACGAUCAGGUAGGGGUUCUGAGAGGAACGGUCCCCACAUUGGAACUGAGACACGGUCCAAAACUCCGUACGGGAGCA